RNAcentral lists this ribosomal RNA (253 nucleotides) under uncultured bacterium. Its description in RNAcentral is "partial 16S ribosomal RNA". It matches the Rfam family "Bacterial small subunit ribosomal RNA", at positions 524 to 776 of the family's 1533-position model. The record is from RNAcentral.
UACGGAGGGGACUAGCGUUGUUCGGAAUUACUGGGCGUAAAGCGCACGUAGGCGGAUUUGUAAGUCAGGGGUGAAAUCCCGGGGCUCAACCCCGGAACUGCCUUUGAUACUGCGAAUCUCGAGUCCGGAAGAGGUGAGUGGAAUUCCUAGUGUAGAGGUGAAAUUCGUAGAUAUUAGGAAGAACACCAGUGGCGAAGGCGGCUCACUGGUCCGGUACUGACGCUGAGGUGCGAAAGCGUGGGGAGCGAACAGG